CCUACGGGAGGCAGCAGUGAGGGAUAUUGCUCAAUGGGGGCAACCCUGAUGCAGCGAAGCCGCGUGAAUGAAGAAGGAUUUCGGUAUGUAAAGCUCUAUCAGCAGGGGAGUAAAUGACGGUACGUGACCAAGAAGCUCCGGCUAACUACGUGCCAGCUGCCGCGGUACUACGUAGGGGGCAAGCGUUAUCCGGAUUUACUGGGUGUAAAGGGAGCGUAGACGGUUAUGUAAGUCUGGAGUGAAAGCCCGGGGCCCAACCCCGGGACUGCUUUGGAAACUGUGUAACUGGAGUACAGGAGGGGCAGGCGGAAUUCCUGGUGUAGCGGUGAAAUGCGUAGAUAUCAGGAGGAACACCGGCGGCGAAGGCGGCCUGCUGGACUGACACUGACGUUGAGGCUCGAAAGCGUGGGGAGCAAACAGGAUUAGAUACCCGAGUAGUC
RNAcentral lists this ribosomal RNA (440 nucleotides) under uncultured bacterium. RNAcentral describes it as "partial 16S ribosomal RNA". It matches the Rfam family "Bacterial small subunit ribosomal RNA", at positions 338 to 795 of the family's 1533-position model. The record is from RNAcentral.